ACUCCUACGGGAGGCAGCAGUAGGGAAUCUUCCACAAUGGGCGCAAGCCUGAUGGAGCAACACCGCGUGAGUGAAGAAGGGUUUCGGCUCGUAAAGCUCUGUUGUUAAAGAAGAACACGUAUGAGAGUAACUGUUCAUACGUUGACGGUACCUUGCGAGAAAGCCACGGCUAACUACGUGCCAGCAGCCGCGGUAAUACGUAGGUGGCAAGCGUUGUCCGGAAUUAUUGGGCGUAAAGCGCGCGCAGGCGGCCUCUUAAGUCUGAUGUGAAAGCCCCGGCUCAACCGGGGGAGGGCCAUUGGAAACUGGGAGGCUUGAGUAUAGGAGAGAAGAGUGGAAUUCCACGUGUAGCGGUGAAAUGCGUAGAGAUGUGGAGGAACACCAGUGGCGAAGGCGACUCUUUGGCCUAUAACUGACGCUGAGGCGCGAAAGCGUGGGGAGCAAACAGGAUUAGAUACCCUGGUAGGAUAGCG
This 473-nucleotide ribosomal RNA is filed under the name uncultured bacterium. RNAcentral's name for it is "bacterial SSU rRNA". It matches the Rfam family "Bacterial small subunit ribosomal RNA", at positions 335 to 799 of the family's 1533-position model. The record is from RNAcentral.